Camelus dromedarius (Arabian camel) is the source of this 129-nucleotide small nucleolar RNA. Lineage: Eukaryota; Metazoa; Chordata; Mammalia; Artiodactyla; Camelidae. The record is from Ensembl.
CCCAAGACUAGAGUCACAUACUGACAGCUCUUGUCCUGGUGUGCUAGAGUCUUCGGAGAGAAUCUCUUGGUUUUGAUUCACGGGCGAGGGCAAUCAGUGCCCCCAUGAGUGCCCAGAUUAGAAAUAUGC